RNAcentral lists this long non-coding RNA (5470 nucleotides) under Equus caballus (horse). RNAcentral describes it as "lncRNA (ENSECAG00000050888.1)". Lineage: Eukaryota; Metazoa; Chordata; Mammalia; Perissodactyla; Equidae. The record is from RNAcentral.
GUCUGAAGAAGAAUGAGAGAAGGAGUUCCUUCCACCCAGGGAACAGCAUUGUACAGCAAAUGAAAAACACCACGACGAGGCAGAGAGAGACCACAGAAGAAAGGUAAACGUCUUAUAUUUUAGUACCUUUAAUGACACUUUUUCCUGCUUUUUUGAACAAGGGGUCCCAUGUUUUCAUCUUGUCCUGGGCCUUGUAAACUGAGCAGCAGGCCAUGCCCACAGGCUGACUGCUUGAUGCUGCUGCUCAGGAGCCUGUCAUUCAGCCUCGCUUCUCUUACAGCUGGGAGAGUUUCAAGAGAGGGAUUGGGGAGGCAGAAGGAGAGCUGCUGAGGUGUUUUCAGCUGGGGUCUGACUUCCCAGGGGCACUUAGUUCUCCCAGAGUCCUUUGAGGGCCCUGAGCAACCUGUGAGAGAUACGGUCACUGACUGAGAGGAUAGCAUGGUGUGCGCCCAUCCCUAGCCAUGUGUCCAUGGUCUACGCGACACCCCCCCCCAGCCCCCCCACAUCCAGUGUUUGCUGUAUGUCAGGCCUGAAAGGCAAUUUCAGCCAGAAGAAAGAUGAAACUGAAGACCCACGUCAUGCCGGUGGGCAUUGCCAGGCCCGACUCAGGACUGAGGACCAGCCUGGUGCUUUGUUUUGAGUGGUAGGAGUAGAGCAGGGUUGUCAUUUCUCUUCCUGGGAUCAAAAUCAGACAAACAUCCUAUUUGGCUUACCAGGCAAUAAGUGGAUAACACCAGUGAAUGUCAGUGCAAAUUACAGCUCUAGCCUCCUGUCGUCAGCUUUGUGCUGCUUCUUGUCACUUUAAUGCAAAGAGACAGUGUGGAACUGAUAACAAGCCAGAAGGAUGGGGGAUCGGAGCGGGUGGCUGUGUCAGGGACAGGAAAAAUGCACGUUGGAGAGACUGAUUCAAGACAGUAAAAACCCACAGCAAUGAUUUCCUUGAUCGCCUGUUGGAAAAGGGGCAUGUAAGCAUGUCGGAUGCCUGGGCAAUGUUUCUCAGAUGUCCACACAACUGAGCAGCUACCUCACCCACUCCUUCACCCACACUUCCACCACCCAUCUACCCAUUUACCCAUCCAUCCAAUCAUCCAUCCUCCUCUGUUAGUGAGCGCUGGACUGUUCCUCUUAUCACACCGGAAUUCUGAGGGACUGAUGGGGCCUCCAUCUCCUGCUCACAGCCACUUUCCCAGGUUUGCUUCUAAGAAGUUUGGAGAACUCUUGAGAGGAAACACUUCUCUUCUUAGCAAAAAAACAAGCGCUUUAGGGCCUUUUAAUUUUGUCUAAAACAGCCUGGUGACGGCUCAAAAGCUCCAGUUCUAUUCCAUUAAAUUGCAUUUUCUAAGCCAGUGGGUGAAUGCUACUGUCUCAGAGACCCCUCCGCUGAGAGCUAAGAUCUCCCUCCUAGGCGGCUGAAGAAAGAGGAAGUCUUGCACUUUGCAUGCCGGGAUUUGAGUGUGUCCAUCUGUCGUGAAGCCUGCAAGGGUCGGCUCACAUUAACAUGCAGCGUCACUGUAUCUCCACCCACACUACACAUUUGAGGAACGGAUGCAGUCAACAGGAGAAUCCAGGCCUUCCCAUGGCUGUGCUGGCAAGUUAGUACCUGAGGAAUUAGAAAAGGGACCAAGAAGGGACCUGCGGGGGACACACAUCUUGUAUGUCUUCUCAGGUUGCUCAAUGACUUUGUUUUCUCCCCUGCUGGUGCCCCACUCGCUCUGGGAUGCCCUCCACUGAACCUCACCAUGGGCUGUGGGAUCUGACUUCCUGAGCAGCCAUCAGGGGUUGGAUAAACCAGAGGCGCUAAUUCCCCAGGGGAUGCAUAUGGACCUAGGAGAUAGAAGGUGGGAGCAGGGCGGAUAAAUUCCUCCACCUCCCUUUCUCCUGUGAAGGGCACUGGAUCAUGAUUCCUCCUUGCAGCCUUUCCAGAGAAGCCCCAUGCUCAGCGAACCUGCUGUUCCCUCUCUGCUCUCCUUGAGCAGAGGCCGUCAGUGUGUUCCAUUGCAUGACUUCUCUUGUCUCACUUUCUUUUUUUCCCUCAUCUCCAUUGCUCUUGCCUCUCAACUUUUAACUAAAUUAUUAGAAUGUUAAUCCUUUCUUGGGUUCUACUUUCUGGAAGAACUGGACCAAGACAGCAAAUAAUAUUUAUUUAACACCUGCUAUGUGCCCACAGGUGCUAUUAGUACAUUCAAAAUGGAUUAUGGGACUUGGAAAACUCAUUCAGAAGAGCAGGAAAUGUGUCCAGAGGCCACCCAAAUGGGGUGGCAUCAGGUGUCCUGGGGCCAAGGAAAGAGGGGUUUCUAUAUUCCUUGAGACCUUGGUCUAAAUUCCAGGCCCCCAACUUGGUUCCCAAAUUAGGAAAGAUUUCCGUUUGGGAGAUUUAGCUUAUGCAGUGGUUAGAGUAUUCUUCACACCAGAAGGAAUUAAAGAGGGAAGGAGGGACGGCUCUCAGCACCAGUAUACUAGUUAUCUACCGCUGCAUAACAAGUUACUCCAAAACUUAGUGAUUUAAAACAUCAGUGAACAAUUAUCAUCUCUCACAGUUCCAGCGGGUCAGGAAUUCAGGAGCAGCCUGGCUGGCUGGAUGGGGCUCAGGUCUCUCAUGAAGUUAAGGUCAGAUGUUGGCUGGGGCUGCAGUCAACUGAAGGUCUGACUGGAGCUGGAGGAUCUGAUUCCAAGAUGGCGCACUCACAUGGCUGUUGGCAGGAGGCCUUAGUUUCUCUUCAUGAGGACCUCUCCCCAGGGAUACUUGAGUAUUCUCAUGACGUGGCUGCUGGGGUCCCCCGGAGCAAGCAAUCCAAAAGGCCACAGCAGAAGCCACAAUGCCCUUUAUGACAGUUUCAUAAAUCACACACUGUUCUCCCCAUCUUAUGCUAUUGGUCACACAGAAAGCCCUGAUUCAGUUCAGGGAGAGUAUAUACAAGGGCAUGGAUUCUAGGAGGUGAGGGUUCCGGGAGGAGGAGGAGCAUUUUUGGAGCCUAGACCACAGUAGCAUCCUGGAACAUCAGAGCUGGGAGAGUUCUUAGAGAUCAUCCGUUUCAACAUCCUCAUUUAAUAGCUGAGAAACCUAAAGAUCAGAGACAUUAUGCAACCUGCUCCAGGUCACUCAGUGAAUUGUGUGUUCACGUUUAACUCGGGACUCAACAGUGCCUGCAGGCAGCGCGUUUUAUGAGGCUAUGUGAGAACUGUAGCCUAUGGUCAAACAGCGUCACUAUGCUGAUGAAGGAAGUCAGAGAUGAUGCUUUAAACAAGAGCUGCCUAACGAAUCCAGGGCAGAGCCUAUUACAGGAGUUCAUUCAUUCUUUCAAAAUAUAUUUGCGUCCGUACCUUAUACCUGGCACUGGUCUGGGCAAUGGCACACAGGCAAGCAAAAACGUGCUCCUGCUCUCGUGGACCUUAUAGUGUAGACAGACAUGCACUGUGUAGUCCUACCAAUAAUGGCAAUAUCAUAACUAUGGCAAGUGCUCUGAAGAGGAGGUUGAAGCUCUGUGAAAGCACAACAGAAUAUUGACUCUGCUGCAUCCAACGAGGCUUCCCCAAGGAAGUGAUGAUUCACUUAUCAUUUGACAACCUGAGAGUGAGUCCCACUAUCAACCAGAUAAUGAUCGUUGCUCAUGAUUUAUUUGUUUUUCAGAUAUUGGAUUUUCCACCUCCAGAAGUUCCAUUUUGAUUUUAUUUUAUAUCUGCUAUUUCUCUCAUAAUUGAGUUCAUGUUUUCCUUUAACAUUCUUCAAUCUAUUGAUAAGCUUUAUAAUAGUUAUUUUAAUAUCCUUGCCUGCUAGUUCCAUCAUCUCUCCCUUUUUUGGGUCUACUUCUAUUUUUUUCUCCUGGUUACAAGUUAUAUUCUCCUGCUGCUUUGCGUGUCUGGUAAUUUUCUAUUGGAUGUCAGACAAUGAAGUUUUUACAGUAUUUGUAUUGGAUUUUGUUUUAUUCCUUGAAAGAGUGAUGGACUUUGCUCUGCCACAUGGUUACCUGGGAACAGUGUGAUCUUUUCAGGGUUUGCUUUCAAGCUUUGUUAUGCUCGGUCCAGAGCAGCCUUGAGUCUGGGACUAAUUUAGCCCCGUUAUUGAGGCAAGAGCCUUCUUGGGAUGCUACCCACGUAUUGCAAGGUCUCCACUUCCACUGGUGAGAAUAUCAACUAUUUCUAGUAAGCACUCCAGGAAUUGCUCUAUCUGCUCCUUUUAGGUGGUUCUUUUCUCUGCCUCAAGGAAUUUCUUCACAAGUAGUGAGUAAUCAGAGAUUAAAGACUUGCGGUUUUUACCUGACAAUCUCUGGAAUUUUCUCUGUGUGUAGAACUCCCUCCUCUCUGGUACUCAGCCCUGAAAAUUUGAGCUGCUGUGGGCUCCCACACUCUAACCUCUGUCUCCUCAACUCUGUGAGACCACCAGGCUUCCUUUGGGCUCUCUCUAGGCAGGGAGCUGAUACCAUGGUAGGACUCACUCUUUGUUUCCCUUCUCUCAGAGCUCACGAUCCUGCCUUGACUGUUGUCCAGUGUUGAAAAUGGUUGUUUCACAUAUUUUUCCUAGUAUUUUAGUGUUUAAGGCAGGGGUGUAUAUCUAGUCCCUGUUACUGCAUCAUGGCAUAUUUUUUCUUUAAUUUUUUAAACAGCUUGAUUGAAGCAUAGUUGAUAUAGUAAACUACACAUAUUAAAGUGUACAAUGGACAAGGCUUGACGUUUGUAUAUGCACAUGAAACCAUCACCACAUUCAAGACAGUGAGCAUAUCCAUCACCUCCAAAAGUUUCUUCAUACCCUUUUGGGAUCCCUCCUUCUGGCUCCCUGGACCCUUCCUGGGAGAAAGGCAACCGCUGAUUUAUUUUCAGUCACCACAGACUUGUCAGCAUUUUCUAAAGUUUUAUAUAAAUUCCCUUUUGUCUGGCUUCUUUCACUAGGCAUAAUUAUUUUGAUUCAUCCAUGUUGUUAUUCAUAUCACUAGUUUCUCCUUUUACAUUCCUGAGUAGUAUUCCACUGUAUUGGAUAUACCACAAUUUGUUUAGUUAUUUUGUUUAUACCAUACUUAUUAAUUAUUGAUGGACAUUUGGAUUGCUUCCACUUUUUAGCUAUGACAAAUAAAGCUGCUGUGAACAUUCAUGGAAAGUCUUUGUGGGGACAUGUUUUGUUUUUUUAUAAAUACCUAGGAAUGGAACAGCUGGAAUAUAUGGUAGGUAUAUGUGUAACUUUUUAAGACCCUGCAAAACUGUUUUGCAACGGCAUUUGUUUUAAAGCCAGUUUUUGUUUGUAGAUCCAUGUGAUGGGGUGGUAAACCGGUGAGAUGUUUGGAUAUGAAUGUUCAACUUCUUUUUUUCUGAAGCAAUAGGUGUGCUCUGGCAACUGUCACGUUGAUUCCUGUCAGCCCCCGCCAGCCUGGGAAGUAGACUUUCACCACAAGAUGGAAAAGUAAGAGGGGAGAUUAUGAGGGGCUCCCAGCCUGCCUGACAGCAGUAGGAGAAGAGUCGGAACUCUUGGACUUUUUGCUUU